RNAcentral lists this ribosomal RNA (229 nucleotides) under uncultured bacterium. Its description in RNAcentral is "partial 16S ribosomal RNA". It matches the Rfam family "Bacterial small subunit ribosomal RNA", at positions 568 to 796 of the family's 1533-position model. The record is from RNAcentral.
UACGCAGGCGGUUUGUUAAGCAAGAUGUGAAAGCCCCGGGCUCAACCUGGGAACUGCAUUUUGAACUGGCAAACUAGAGUCUUGUAGAGGGGGGUAGAAUUUCAGGUGUAGCGGUGAAAUGCGUAGAGAUCUGAAGGAAUACCGGUGGCGAAGGCGGCCCCCUGGACAAAGACUGACGCUCAGGUACGAAAGCGUGGGGAGCAAACAGGAUUAGAUACCCUGGUAGUCC